GAUUAAGUUAUUAAGGGCGCACGGUGGAUGCCUUGGCACUAGAAGCCGACGAAGGACGUUACUAACGACGAUAUGCUUUGGGUAGCUGUAAGUAAGCGUUGAUCCAGAGAUUUCCGAAUGGGGGAACCCAGCACGAGUUAUGUCGUGUUAUCGACAAGUGAAUUCAUAGCUUGUCAGAAGGCAGACCCGGAGAACUGAAACAUCUUAGUACCCGGAGGAAGAGAAAGAAAAAUCGAUUCCCUGAGUAGCGGCGAGCGAAACGGGAAGAGCCCAAACCAAUAAGCUUGCUUAUUGGGGUUGUAGGACACUCUAUACGGAGUUACAAAGGAAUAUAUUAGACGAAUCAUCUGGAAAGUUGAAUCAAAGAAGGUAAUAAUCCUGUAGUUGAAAAUAUAUUCUCUCUUGAGUGGAUCCUGAGUACGACGGAGCACGUGAAAUUCCGUCGGAAUCUGGGAGGACCAUCUCCUAAGGCUAAAUACUCUCUAGUGACCGAUAGUGAACCAGUACCGUGAGGGAAAGGUGAAAAGUACCCCGGAAGGGGAGUGAAAGAGAACUUGAAACCGUGUGCUUACAAGUAGUCAGAGCCCGUUAAUGGGUGAUGGCGUGCCUUUUGUAGAAUGAACCGGCGAGUUACGAUCUGAUGCAAGGUUAAGCAGGAAAUGUGGAGCCGUAGCGAAAGCGAGUCUGAAUAGGGCGUUGAGUAUUUGGUCGUAGACCCGAAACCAGGUGAUCUACCCAUGGUCAGGUUGAAGUUCAGGUAACACUGAAUGGAGGACCGAACCGACUUACGUUGAAAAGUGAGCGGAUGAACUGUGGGUAGCGGAGAAAUUCCAAUCGAACUUGGAGAUAGCUGGUUCUCUCCGAAAUAGCUUUAGGGCUAGCCUCAAGUGAUGAUUAUUGGAGGUAGAGCACUGUUUGGACGAGGGGCCCCUCUCGGGUUACCGAAUUCAGACAAACUCCGAAUGCCAAUUAAUUUAACUUGGGAGUCAGAACAUGGGUGAUAAGGUCCGUGUUCGAAAGGGAAACAGCCCAGACCACCAGCUAAGGUCCCAAAAUAUAUGUUAAGUGGAAAAGGAUGUGGCGUUGCCCAGACAACUAGGAUGUUGGCUUAGAAGCAGCCAUCAUUUAAAGAGUGCGUAAUAGCUCACUAGUCGAGUGACACUGCGCCGAAAAUGUACCGGGGCUAAACAUAUUACCGAAGCUGUGGAUUGUCCGUAGGACAAUGGUAGGAGAGCGUUCUAAGGGCGUUGAAGCAUGAUCGCAAGGACAUGUGGAGCGCUUAGAAGUGAGAAUGCCGGUGUGAGUAGCGAAAGACGGGUGAGAAUCCCGUCCACCGAUUGACUAAGGUUUCCAGAGGAAGGCUCGUCCGCUCUGGGUUAGUCGGGUCCUAAGCUGAGGCCGACAGGCGUAGGCGAUGGAUAACAGGUUGAUAUUCCUGUACCACCUAGCAUCGUUUUAAUCGAUGGGGGGACGCAGUAGGAUAGGCGAAGCGUACGAUUGGAUUGUACGUCUAAGCAGUGAGAUUGAGUGUUAGGCAAAUCCGGCACUCUUAAGAUUGAGCUGUGAUGGGGAGAGGAAAUUGUUUCCUCGAGUCGUUGAUUUCACACUGCCGAGAAAAGCCUCUAGAUAGAUAAUAGGUGCCCGUACCGCAAACCGACACAGGUAGUCAAGAUGAGAAUUCUAAGGUGAGCGAGCGAACUCUCGUUAAGGAACUCGGCAAAAUGACCCCGUAACUUCGGGAGAAGGGGUGCUCUUUAGGGUGCAAGCCCAGAAGAGCCGCAGUGAAUAGGCCCAAGCGACUGUUUAUCAAAAACACAGGUCUCUGCUAAACCGUAAGGUGAUGUAUAGGGGCUGACGCCUGCCCGGUGCUGGAAGGUUAAGAGGAGUGGUUAGCUUCUGCGAAGCUACGAAUCGAAGCCCCAGUAAACGGCGGCCGUAACUAUAACGGUCCUAAGGUAGCGAAAUUCCUUGUCGGGUAAGUUCCGACCCGCACGAAAGGCGUAACGAUUUGGGCACUGUCUCAACGAGAGACUCGGUGAAAUCAUAGUACCUGUGAAGAUGCAGGUUACCCGCGACAGGACGGAAAGACCCCGUGGAGCUUUACUGUAGCCUGAUAUUGAAAUUCGGCACAGCUUGUACAGGAUAGGUAGGAGCCUUUGAAACGUGAGCGCUAGCUUACGUGGAGG
This 2186-nucleotide ribosomal RNA is filed under the name Staphylococcus haemolyticus. RNAcentral's name for it is "partial 23S ribosomal RNA". It matches the Rfam family "Bacterial large subunit ribosomal RNA", at positions 1 to 2186 of the family's 2925-position model. The record is from RNAcentral. Lineage: Bacteria; Bacillati; Bacillota; Bacilli; Caryophanales; Staphylococcaceae.